GUUUAAUACUAGGUUUAAUACCAUGUUUAAUACUAGGUUUAAUACUAGGUUUAAUACCAUGUUUAAUACCAUGUUUAAUACCAUGUUUAAUACUAGGUUUAAUACCAGGUUUAGAAGCAAAUUCAAUUGUGAUGGUUGUAUUUUGAUUGCUGUAAGUCAAAUCAGAUUGUAUUUGUCAUAUACACAUGUUUAGCAGAUGUUAUUGGUCAUAUACACAUGUUUAGCAGAUGUUAUUGUGGGUAUAGUAAAAUGCUUGUGUGUCUGGCUCCAUGUAGUAAUAUCUAACAAUUCACAACAAUACACACAAUCUAAAAGUAGAAGAAUGCAAUUAAGGAAAAUAUUAAUAAUAGGAUGAGCAAUGUCGGAGUGGCAUUGACUAAAUACAGUAGGAUAGAAUACAGUAUAUACAUAUGAGAUGAGUAAAGCAGUAUGUAAACAUUAUUAAAGUGACUAGUUAGUAAAUACAGUAGGAAAGAAUACAGUAUAUACAUAUGAGUUGAGUAAAGCAUUGACUAAAUACAGUAGGAUAGAAUACAGUAUAUACAUAUGAGUUGAGUAAAGCAUUGACUAAAUACAGUAGGAUAGAACACAGUAUAUACAUAUGAGUUGAGUAAAGCAUUGACUAAAUACAGUAGGAUAGAAUACAGUAUAUACAUAUGAGUUGAGUAAAGGAAAAAUAUGUAAACAUUAUUAAACAACAUCUCCAUCCCUCUGAUCCUCAAAACUGGGGCCCUACAUGGGUGCGUUCUCAGCCCUCUCCUGUACUCCCUGUUCACCCACGACUGCGUGGCUAAGCACACCUCCAACUCAUCAAUCAUCAAGUUUGCGGACGACACAACAGUGGUAGGCUUGAUCACCAACAAUGACGAGACAGCCUAUAGGGAGGAGGUUACCUUUGCUUCCUUGGGUACAAGAAAAAUGGUGGACAUCUUGAAGAAAGUGGGGACAGCAGACUGGGAUAGGGAGAGAUUGAGUAUGUCCGUAAACACACCAGCCAUUGUGUUACCAUACUGUAGGUUCAUAUAAUCAGCAUAUAUUUUUCAUGGUCAGAUUUGAAUUGUGUAAAUAUUGAACUAUUGUUUAAUGUUUUUAAGUCUUCUGAAUAAAGUACUGAUUUGAUU
Molecule: long non-coding RNA, 1121 nt
Organism: Oncorhynchus tshawytscha (Chinook salmon)
Lineage: Eukaryota; Metazoa; Chordata; Actinopteri; Salmoniformes; Salmonidae
Source: Ensembl